This 457-nucleotide ribosomal RNA is filed under the name uncultured bacterium. RNAcentral's name for it is "partial 16S ribosomal RNA". It matches the Rfam family "Bacterial small subunit ribosomal RNA", at positions 338 to 795 of the family's 1533-position model. The record is from RNAcentral.
CCUACGGGUGGCAGCAGUGGGGAAUAUUGCACAAUGGGGGAAACCCUGAUGCAGCGACGCCGCGUGAGUGAAGAAGUAAUUCGUUACGUAAAGCCCUAUCAGCAGGGAAGAAACACUGACCUUACGGUCAGCAGACGGUACCUGAGUAAGAAGCCCCGGCUAAGUACGGGCCAGCAGCCGCGGUAAUACGUAGUGGGCAAGCGUUAUCCGGAUUUAUUGGGUUUAAAGGGUGCGUAGGCGGAAGGUUAAGUCAGCGGUCAAAUGUCGGUGCUCAACCCCGGCCGGCCGUUGAAACUGGUCGUCUUGAGUGGGCGAGAAGUAUGCGGAAUGCGUGGUGUAGCGGUGAAAUGCAUAGAUAUCACGCAGAACUCCGAUUGCGAAGGCAGCAUGCCGGCGCUCAACUGACGCUGAGGCACGAAAGCGUGGGGAUCGAACAGGAUUAGAUACCCGUGUAGUC